Molecule: ribosomal RNA, 222 nt
Filed under: uncultured bacterium
Lineage: Bacteria
Description: partial 16S ribosomal RNA
Rfam family: Bacterial small subunit ribosomal RNA
Source: RNAcentral
CUACGGUCUCAGUUCAGACUGCAGGCUGCAACUCGCCUGCAUGAAGUUGGAAUUGCUAGUAAUCGCGAAUCAGAAUGUCGCGGUGAAUACGUUCCCGGGCCUUGUACACACCGCCCGUCACACCAUGAGAGUCGAUAACACCCGAAGCCUGUGAGCUAACCUUUUAGGAGGCAGCAGUCGAAGGUGGGGUUGAUGAUUGGGGUGAAGUCGUAACAAGGUACC